AAGACUCUCGGCAACGGAUAUCUCGGCUCUUGCAUCGAUGAAGAACGUAGCGAAAUGCGAUACUUGGUGUGAAUUGCAGAAUCCCGUGAACCAUCGAGUCUUUGAACGCAAGUUGCGCCUGAAGCCAUUAGGCCGAGGGCACGCCUGCCUUGGGUGUCGCACAU
RNAcentral lists this ribosomal RNA (164 nucleotides) under Ammopiptanthus nanus. Its description in RNAcentral is "5.8S ribosomal RNA". It matches the Rfam family "5.8S ribosomal RNA". Rfam says of the family: 5.8S ribosomal RNA (5.8S rRNA) is a component of the large subunit of the eukaryotic ribosome. It is transcribed by RNA polymerase I as part of the 45S precursor that also contains 18S and 28S rRNA. The record is from RNAcentral. Lineage: Eukaryota; Viridiplantae; Streptophyta; Magnoliopsida; Fabales; Fabaceae.